Xyrichtys novacula (pearly razorfish) is the source of this 67-nucleotide non-coding RNA. NCBI's taxonomy places the organism in Eukaryota, Metazoa, Chordata, Actinopteri, Labriformes, Labridae. The record is from the annotation of a GenBank genome assembly.
AAUGGGACGGCAACAUUUGGUUGGUGUAGUACAGAGAAACCAGCCUUGUUUACAUAGCCGUCCCAUG